AGAGAUUGGCUUUGGUGCCCGAAAGGGAAUCGGAACACAGGUGCUGCAUGGCUGUCGUCAGCUCGUGUCGUGAGAUGUUGGGUUAAGUCCCGCAACGAGCGCAACCCUUAUCAUUAGUUGCUACGCAAGGGCACUCUAAUGAGACUGCCGGUGACAAACCGGAGGAAGGUGGGGAUGACGUCGAGUCCUCAUGGCCCUUAUGGGUAGGGCUUCACACGUCAUACAAUGGUCGGUACAGAGGGUUGCCAAGCCGCGAGGCGGAGCCAAUCCCACAAAGCCGAUCGUAGUCCGGAUUGUUCUCUGCAACUCGAGAGCAUGAAGUCGGAAUCGCUAGUAAUCGCAGGUCAGCAUACUGCGGUGAAUACGUUCCCGGAUCUU
This 378-nucleotide ribosomal RNA is filed under the name uncultured Thiobacillus sp. RNAcentral describes it as "bacterial SSU rRNA". It matches the Rfam family "Bacterial small subunit ribosomal RNA", at positions 1002 to 1382 of the family's 1533-position model. Lineage: Bacteria; Pseudomonadati; Pseudomonadota; Betaproteobacteria; Nitrosomonadales; Thiobacillaceae. The record is from RNAcentral.